AUUGAACGCUGGCGGCAUGCUUUACACAUGCAAGUCGAACGGUAACAGGGAGCUUGCUCCGCUGACGAGUGGCGAACGGGUGAGUAAUGCAUCGGAACGUACCCAGUCGUGGGGGAUAACGUAGCGAAAGUUACGCUAAUACCGCAUACGUCCUGAGGGAGAAAGCGGGGGACCGUAAGGCCUCGCGCGAUUGGAGCGGCCGAUGUCGGAUUAGCUAGUUGGUGGGGUAAAGGCCUACCAAGGCGACGAUCCGUAGCGGGUCUGAGAGGAUGAUCCGCCACACUGGGACUGAGACACGGCCCAGACUCCUACGGGAGGCAGCAGUGGGGAAUUUUGGACAAUGGGCGAAAGCCUGAUCCAGCCAUGCCGCGUGAGUGAAGAAGGCCUCGGUUGUAAG
This 397-nucleotide ribosomal RNA is filed under the name uncultured bacterium. RNAcentral describes it as "bacterial SSU rRNA". It matches the Rfam family "Bacterial small subunit ribosomal RNA", at positions 29 to 429 of the family's 1533-position model. The record is from RNAcentral.